This 338-nucleotide long non-coding RNA is filed under the name Bos taurus (domestic cattle). Its description in RNAcentral is "long non-coding RNA NONBTAT025039". Lineage: Eukaryota; Metazoa; Chordata; Mammalia; Artiodactyla; Bovidae. The record is from RNAcentral.
AAAAGAACACUAGACAGAAAAGAAAGGUGAUGAUGAUGGACAAACUGGAUAAGUGUCAUUUCAGUUGAAGUUUCUAUGAGUAUUUGAGCAUCUGAUCACUUCAGAAACUCUUUUUUCUUCCCUUAGGUUUUAAGUUUUUGGCAAGAGUAGAUCUCACUUUCUCUCUUAACCUCCACUCCUCCUACUCAGAACAUAGUUCAUGACUGACUGCUUUUUUGCUUCAAACACCUCUACAGAAAUUGCUGUCGCCAUGAUUGACAAUGAUGGCUUAAAGGCUACAAAUCAUUUAACAUAUCUCAAGCCUCAAUUCCUUAACUUCAAAAUACUUUAUACUUGAU